CCUACGGGGGGCAGCAGUGGGGAAUAUUGCACAAUGGGCGCAAGCCUGAUGCAGCCAUGCCGCGUGUGUGAAGAAGGCCUUCGGGUUGUAAAGCACUUUCAGCGGGGAGGAAGGCGUUAAGGUUAAUAACCUUGGCGAUUGACGUUACCCGCAGAAGAAGCACCGGCUAACUCCGUGCCAGCAGCCGCGGUAAUACGGAGGGUGCAAGCGUUAAUCGGAAUUACUGGGCGUAAAGCGCACGCAGGCGGUCUGUCAAGUCGGAUGUGAAAUCCCCGGGCUCAACCUGGGAACUGCAUUCGAAACUGGCAGGCUAGAGUCUUGUAGAGGGGGGUAGAAUUCCAGGUGUAGCGGUGAAAUGCGUAGAGAUCUGGAGGAAUACCGGUGGCGAAGGCGGCCCCCUGGACAAAGACUGACGCUCAGGUGCGAAAGCGUGGGGAGCAAACGGGAUUAGAUACCCGGGUAGUC
This 465-nucleotide ribosomal RNA is filed under the name uncultured Klebsiella sp. Its description in RNAcentral is "bacterial SSU rRNA". It matches the Rfam family "Bacterial small subunit ribosomal RNA", at positions 338 to 795 of the family's 1533-position model. The record is from RNAcentral. Lineage: Bacteria; Pseudomonadati; Pseudomonadota; Gammaproteobacteria; Enterobacterales; Enterobacteriaceae.